UAGGAAUCUGCCUAUUAGUGGGGGACAACAUCUCGAAAGGGAUGCUAAUACCGCAUACGUCCUACGGGAGAAAGCAGGGGAUCACUUGUGACCUUGCGCUAAUAGAUGAGCCUAAGUCGGAUUAGCUAGUUGGUGGGGUAAAGGCCUACCAAGGCGACGAUCUGUAGCGGGUCUGAGAGGAUGAUCCGCCACACUGGGACUGAGACACGGCCCAGACUCCUACGGGAGGCAGCAGUGGGGAAUAUUGGACAAUGGGGGGAACCCUGAUCCAGCCAUGCCGCGUGUGUGAAGAAGGCCUUAUGGUUGUAAAGCACUUUAAGCGAGGAGGAGGCUCUUUUGGUUAAUACCCAAGAUGAGUGGACGUUACUCGCAGAAUAAGCACCGGCUAACUCUGUGCCAGCAGCCGCGGUAAUACAGAGGGUGCAAGCGUUAAUCGGAUUUACUGGGCGUAAAGCGCGCGUAGGCGGCCAAUUAAGUCAAAUGUGAAAUCCCCGAGCUUAACUUGGGAAUUGCAUUCGAUACUGGUUGGCUAGAGUGUGGGAGAGGAUGGUAGAAUUCCAGGUGUAGCGGUGAAAUGCGUAGAGAUCUGGAGGAAUACCGAUGGCGAAGGCAGCCAUCUGGCCUAACACUGACGCUGAGGUGCGAAAGCAUGGGGAGCAAACAGGAUUAGAUACCCUGGUAGUCCAUGCCGUAAACGAUGUCUACUAGCCGUUGGGGCCUUUG
This 723-nucleotide ribosomal RNA is filed under the name uncultured bacterium. RNAcentral describes it as "bacterial SSU rRNA". It matches the Rfam family "Bacterial small subunit ribosomal RNA", at positions 118 to 834 of the family's 1533-position model. The record is from RNAcentral.